UGUGAGUUUUCUGAGAGUGUCUCAUAUCUAAAACUUUUUCUUCUACUUCUCAUCUUUAUAAGAGUCUAAAUUAAGAAGAAGAAAGCAUCUGAUCGACCAUCGAAGAAGGAUCAGCACAGUACUAGCAUACUGUGCUGAUUUCUUAGACCAGGACUUCUGAUCGUGAUUCGUCAGCUCGUGUGGACGACUCCUAGAGGCUGGACGUGUGUGUGGCUCACAACAUCAUCCUCAAACCUGGAUCAGCAAAGUUAGAACGUCUAACUUACAAGGUAAUAAAUCUGAUC
Molecule: long non-coding RNA, 284 nt
Filed under: Elaeis guineensis (African oil palm)
Lineage: Eukaryota; Viridiplantae; Streptophyta; Magnoliopsida; Arecales; Arecaceae
Description: long non-coding RNA (EGUI_LNC074803)
Source: RNAcentral